RNAcentral lists this ribosomal RNA (468 nucleotides) under uncultured bacterium. Its description in RNAcentral is "partial 16S ribosomal RNA". It matches the Rfam family "Bacterial small subunit ribosomal RNA", at positions 28 to 507 of the family's 1533-position model. The record is from RNAcentral.
GACGAACGCUGGCGGCGUGCUUAACACAUGCAAGUCGAACGGAAAGGCCCUGCUUUUGUGGGGUGCUCGAGUGGCGAACGGGUGAGUAACACGUGAGUAACCUGCCCUUGACUUUGGGAUAACUUCAGGAAACUGGGGCUAAUACCGGAUAGGAGCUCCUGUUGCAUGGUGGGGGUUGGAAAGUUUCGGCGGGUGGGGAUGGACUCGCGGCUUAUCAGCUUGUUGGUGGGGUAGUGGCUUACCAAGGCUUUGACGGAUAGCCGGCCUGGGAGGGUGACCGGCCACAUUGGGACUGAGAUACGGCCCAGACUCCUACGGGAGGCAGCAGUGGGGAGUAUUGCACAAUGGGCGGAAGCCGGAUGCAGAGACGCCGCGUGCGGGAUGACGGCCUUCGGGUUGUAAACCGCUGUAGCCUGUGACGAAGCGUGAGUGACGGUAAUGGGUAAAGAAGCACCGGCUAACUACGUG